CAGUAGCCGCGGUAAUACGUAGGUGGCAAGCGUUGUUCGGAAUUAUUGGGCGUAAAGCGCGCGCAGGCGGAUAGGUCAGUCUGUCUUAAAAGUUCGGGGCUUAACCCCGUGAUGGGAUGGAAACUGCCAAUCUAGAGUAUCGGAGAGGAAAGUGGAAUUCCUAGUGUAGCGGUGAAAUGCGUAGAUAUUAGGAAGAACACCAGUGGCGAAGGCGACUUUCUGGACGAAAACUGACGCUGAGGCGCGAAAGCCAGGGGAGCAAGCAGGAUUAGAUACCCCAGUAGUCCCUGUCUCUUAUACC
Molecule: ribosomal RNA, 301 nt
Filed under: uncultured bacterium
Lineage: Bacteria
Description: partial 16S ribosomal RNA
Rfam family: Bacterial small subunit ribosomal RNA
Source: RNAcentral